GCGAGCGUAGCCAAGUGGUUAAGGCAGAGGAUUGUGGUUCCUCCAUUCGUGGGUUCGAAUCCCAUCGUUCGCCCUA
RNAcentral lists this transfer RNA (76 nucleotides) under Chroococcidiopsis sp. TS-821. RNAcentral describes it as "tRNA-His". It matches the Rfam family "tRNA". From Rfam's summary of the family: Transfer RNA (tRNA) molecules are approximately 80 nucleotides in length. Their secondary structure includes four short double-helical elements and three loops (D, anti-codon, and T loops). The record is from RNAcentral. Lineage: Bacteria; Bacillati; Cyanobacteriota; Cyanophyceae; Chroococcidiopsidales; Chroococcidiopsidaceae.